RNA transcript from Oncorhynchus tshawytscha (Chinook salmon), 5640 nucleotides. It is a transcript of the gene named tyrosine-protein phosphatase non-receptor type 4-like, with no coding region annotated. NCBI's taxonomy places the organism in Eukaryota, Metazoa, Chordata, Actinopteri, Salmoniformes, Salmonidae. The record is from RefSeq and is a predicted model, not a curated record. The transcript is spliced from 27 exons.
UUGCGCCAUAACGUUGCUAUGCUGUUGCCUCUGCUGCAGCGAGCGAGCCUUGACGACGGACUCUGCAGUCCGCUGAGAAGUCAGAGACCGAAUAAUCCAAUCCCCCCCAACAUUUAUGUCGCUCAUACCAUCGCAUUUACAAAUCAAAGGAAUUGUAAAUAUCAUUCACUCGGUCUGAAAUUACUGCUGGUUAGCUGUAGCCAAUGGUUGCUGUGUCUUGCGUGUGGAUUAUUCGUUGCCGAGCUAGUCCGAGAUUCGACCCAGGAGGGCCCGCAUUUGAAUGUGUAUGAAGCUGAAGGCUCGGUGAUAAAGAUGAGGUUUUGUCGGAGUUCGCAGCGGGUGAACUGAACUUGGAUUUUCAGUCCCUCACCCUAAACUAAUUUCCCGCUAUAAGAAAACCAUAUUACUUAAAAACUGGACCCCCCUGGAACUGUUUAUGACGACCCUGGUUGGACCGUAAUGACCGCACGCUUCCGGUUGCCUGCUGGCAGAUCUUACAAUGUCCGGGCGUCGGAGCUGGCACGCGACAGCCAGCACACGGAGGUGGUCUGCAACAUACUUCUCUUGGACAACACCGUCCAAUCCUUCAAAGUUAACAAACACGACCAGGGUCAUGUCUUACUGGAUGUAGUGUUUAAGCACCUGGAGCUGACAGAAAGGGACUACUUCGGCCUGCAUCUGGCCGACGACUCCUCAGACAGCCCGGUAGGUGCCAAGAGGUGGUUGGAUCCAAACAAACCCAUAAGGAAGCAGUUAAAAAGGGGAUCGCCUUAUAAUCUGAGCUUCAGAGUGAAGUUCUUUGUGACAGACCCAAAUAAACUUCAGGAAGAGUAUACUAGGUACCAGUAUUUCCUCCAGCUCAAACAGGACAUCCUGACAGGAAGACUGCCCUGCCCGCACAACACUGCCGCGCUCCUGGCGUCCUACUCUGUUCAAUCUGAGCUGGGGGACUACAGUGAUUCGGAGCAUGCUCCUGGUUACCUCUCACAGUUCUGCUUCAUCCCCAACCCACCCCAAGGCUUCGACAAGGAGGUUACCAAACACCACCAACAGCACAGUGGCCUGUCUCCGGCCCAGUCAGAGUUUAAUUACCUGAACACAGCAAGGACACUGGAGCUGUACGGAGUGGAAUUGCACUAUGCAAGGGAUCAAAGCAACACUGAGAUUUUAAUUGGGGUGAUGUCCACAGGGAUCGUGGUUUACAAGAACAGGGUACGAAUCAACUGCUUUCCCUGGUUGAAGAUUGUGAAAAUAUCGUUCAAGUGCAAACAGUUUUUCGUUCAGCUCAGGAGAGAAGUGAAUGAGACCAGGGAGACGUUGCUGGGGUUUAACAUGGUAAACUACAGAGCCUGUAAGAACUUAUGGAAGACCUGUGUAGAACACCACACCUUCUUCCGUCUGGACCGGCCCGUUCCCCCCCAGAAGAACUUCUUUGCCCACUACUUUACCCUGGGCUCCAAGUUCCGUUACUGCGGGAGGACAGAGGUGCAGUCGGUGCAGUAUGGCAAAGAGAAGGGGAUCAAGGACCGGGUGUUCGCCAGGUCUCCCAGUAAGCCCCUGGCCAGGAAGUUGAUGGGCGGCACAGACUGGGAGGCUGUGAGCCGGAACAGCUUAUCAGACGAGAGGCUGGAGACCCAGAGCCUGCCCACACGCUCCCCACCCGGAACCCCUAACCACCGGAACUCGUUUGUACAGGAAGGGACGAGGAUGCGGCCGUCGUCGGUUGGGCACCUGGUGGACCAUGUGAUUCACGCCUCGCCCAGCCUCCCUGUCUUCUCCAAUCACAAAUCCGCGUCCUCUACCCAGGCCAACUCCAUCAGCCUCGACUCUUCCCCAUCCCCAGAGACAGUAGAUGGUCAGCCCCCGGCCCUGCCUCCCAAACAGUCCAGGAAGAACCUGAGCCAGAUCAUCCAGGACCACUCCCAGCAGAGUCUCCUUGACAACCACAUCAAUGAGAUGUAUGACAUCCCCAUGGCAUCCGACAAAUCCACGCUGAACGGUGUUGUCUCUCACGACAAUCUGGUUUUGCUCAAGAUGAGGCCGGAUGACACUGGACGAUUUGGCUUCAAUGUCAAGGGUGGAGCUGAUCAGAAGAUGCCUGUCAUUGUAUCUCGUGUGGCCCCUGGGACAUCCGCUGACCUGUGUGUCCCUCGUUUGAACGAAGGUGACCAGGUGGUUUUGAUCAACGGUCGUGAUAUCUCAGAGCACACCCACGACCAGGUGGUCAUGUUCAUCAAGGCCAGUUGUGAGAGCCACUCAGGAGAGCUCAUCCUAUUGGUCAGGCCCAAUGCCAUCUAUGAUGUGGUGGAGGAGAAGCAGGAGACUGAGCCAGACUUUCAGUACAUCCCAGAGAAGUCUCCCCAGGACCCCUCUCAGCUGGACCAGGAUGCCUGGAGGGAUUCCAUUAACACCCUGAAGGAGGGUCUGAUCAGCGGGGGAGUACUCACCCAGUUUGAUCAACUUUACCGGAAGAGGCCUGGAAUGACAAUGUUGUGUGCCAAAUUACCUCAGAACAUUUCCAAAAACCGCUACAGAGACAUCUCACCUUACGACGCAACGCGGGUCAUUCUGAAAAACACAGAUGACUACAUUAAUGCAAAUUAUAUCAACAUGGAGAUCCCGGCGUCGAGCCUGAUCAACCGGUACAUUGCGUGCCAGGGCCCGUUGCCCAACACUUGCCCAGACUUCUGGCAGAUGACCUGGGAGCAGGGCUCCUCCGUGGUGGUCAUGCUCACCACUCAGGUGGAGAGGGGACGGGUGAAGUGUCAUCAGUACUGGCCCAACACUGACAGCACUGCUACGUACGGCCACUUCCAGGUGGCCUGUCUCACUGAGGAGGGCAACUCUGCUUUCCUGGUCCGAGACAUGACCCUUACACACUUCGAGAGCGAGGAGGUCCGGGAGUUGACCCAGAUCCAGUAUGUGGCCUGGCCGGACCACGGCGUCCCAGACGACUCAUCAGACUUCCUGGACUUUGUCAACCUGGUGCGGAGCAAACGAACCGGCAAAGAUGAGCCCAUGGUGGUCCACUGCAGCGCGGGAUUGGCCGAACAGGAGUUCUCAUCACCAUGGAAACAGCGUUGUGCCUGAUGGAGUGCAGUCAGCCCGUCUAUCCAUUAGACAUAGUCAGAACCAUGAGAGACCAGAGAGCCAUGAUGAUUCAGACACCUAGCCAGUACAAGUUUGUGUGUGAAGCCAUCUUGAGGGUCUAUGAGGAAGGCAUGGUCAAACCCCUGAAGUCCAACCUAUACCAGAGAGAAGUAGAAGAAAAUGGAGAAGAGGAAGAUGAAGAUGUUAGCAUUAGCAUUAGCGCUAGUGUGACCAGUGUGACAAGUGAGACCAGCGUGACCAGCGAAUGCCCUGAAACCUAACCUCUAAUCCCUUGGACCUGACCUGGGUUUGUAGUGAGAUGCCCAGCACCAUGGAGGAAGAGCCCUGGCUACCAUGGGUACUGCCGUGGGCCAAGGAGAGAACAAAGCACUGUUGCACUUUAUGCCGACAAAAAACUGAAAAUCAUUGACAAAUGAAUCCAUUUAUGUUAUGUAGACGGACAUGCCUUUUCUUCAAUGUCCCUUCGGCCGAUCGAGAGACACCGUAUCUUUUUCAAGUAGUAUUUAUUGUGUUUUAGUUUGUCAAACCCUGUCCACUGAACAAACGUUACUGCGAGUCCUAGCUUCAUGCUUCCCAAAUGAAAUCAUAGGUAGUAAAAAGUAGUGAGGAUUUUACUUUAUAGUGAGUGGUUUUUAUUUAUUAUAUUCUUUGCUUUUCUUGUCAAGUUAUGACAAUAGACACACAUCGGAGCACUUUGUCUAACCCUAGCUAACCGUGUGGCUGUCGUGUCACUAUGCCUUGGUUUUUGCAUAGAACGAACGAGUCAUUGACUGACGUUGAUUGGCAUGUUAAAUUGUCCAAUUUGGCAGGGUGUGGAUCUACUCUAAGCUACAGUAUUUCAUAGAAUCCCCAGUCACAACAUGGCAAAUAAAGCUAUCAAAUGGGAGACCUUAAAACAACCUUUUUAAGUUACAUUUCUCGCUGUCUUUGUGUGUCUGUCGAGAUUUUAAGCCAACAAUACUAAGAUCAUUCAAAUAUUCGUAAUUAUAUACCCCCACAUUUAAAAAUAUAUAUUUAAAUGGUACUUAGAGGCUUUAAGGCACGUUCUUUUUAUUGGAAAUGAUAAUCACUUAAGGGUGUUUUAGGUGCACAUUGCUGGGCAUUUGUUGUAGCCAACACAGUUAUAACAUGUUUUGUAAAAAAAAAAAUCAGGGUGCACGAGGUGUCCUUUUCAAACUGGUUCAACUGUAUUGUCAUUUUCAGCAGUUCUUGUAUUGGAGUUAUCAGCUUCUUUAUAGUUUUAGCUACUCUUCUCAUGGAAGAGGCUGUUUCUUGCUUUGUUUCAUUGGUUGCUGCCAUCUUGGCACUGCAGGUAGUGGCACCUUCUCCGAUGCACUAUUCUGCACAACCAUGUGUAUGUUUAGAGUGGAUGUGUGUGGGACCGUCAGUGUAGUUAUGUGGUGUGUCUCUGUGACUCAGCAAUUUUUCUUGUGUGUGUAUAUUAUGUCCUGUCUCUGGUGCUGCUGUGGCUCUGUCUCAUGGCGUCAUGCCGUGUAACCAUUUGCUAACCCCUUGCCAUUUCACCAUAACCUGGCUGACACUCAUUACUAACUCAAUGUUAGAUGUCUGGGGUGAAGCCUGCUUGUAAACUUAUUUGCCAUAGUUUUUUCCAUCUUCUUGACCUGAGGUGACUGUGUGAUGCAUCUAUAGCAAUUACAUUGGAAAUAAAUACAUUAUGACCACGCUGUGAGAAGCCCAUGAAGUAAAUUGCUCCCUUUCACCUGGCUUGCACACAGUCCCCAAUGGUCGAUCAUCAACCCACUGUGUGGAAUCCACAAAACUGUCAUUUUGAUUAUUUUAAUUUUAUGAAAUCAUACAUGGAAUCCGGCUCAUUCUGUUAUGCCUGAGAAUAUUAUGAUGACGGAUCAUAGGAGCAAGACUACAGAAUGCCACAUUUUCACAAAUAUCCAGAAUUGAGCUUUGUUCAAAGUGUUAUGAUAGCGUAUCAGGGUACUGUGGGGUGCUGUUUGGAGGCAGGAGGGGAGGGAAGCAGGGUGGGGUAGGUAUGGGAGGGUGGCCGUGUUGUAGUUUUGUGAAAGAAACGGUUCAUGCUUCUUGAGAAUAGACAGCACUUUGCAGAUGACUGGGUAGCCAUGCCUGCUACUGAAUAUGUCAGAAACAUAAAAUGGUGUUUACUUUUUAUUUAUCAUUUUAUUUGUUUUUAGACACCUGUAGGGAACAAAAACUCAAACCUACAGUGAUGCUUAUUUUUUUUUGUAAAUAUACUCGACCAUGUAAAUACAAUGUUGUAUAUUUAAAAAAAAUCUUUAAAAUAAAAGGGAAAACCAUUUGUGAGUUAAAAUGUUUUUAUAUAGAGAAUGACAUGUGACAACUUGUGUUUAAAAAUAGAAGAAAAAUUGAAAGCUUACAUUUCUUUCAACUCUCACUCCAUUAAGUUGAUUUUACUUCUGUUUCAAACACUUGUUUUCAGUUGCUCUGUGCAUUGUGCUUUGUUUUUUCUUUCUGAUAUUGUCAUUUGACAGUGCUUUGAAUAUGUUUAUAAGAUUUAUUAAAAACGAUUAAAACUUG